UACGUAGGGGGCAAGCGUUGUCCGGAAUUAUUGGGCGUAAAGCGCGCGCAGGCGGUCCCUUAAGUCUGAUGUGAAAGCCCACGGCUCAACCGUGGAGGGUCAUUGGAAACUGGGGGACUUGAGUGCAGAAGAGGAAAGUGGAAUUCCAUGUGUAGCGGUGAAAUGCGUAGAGAUGUGGAGGAACACCAGUGGCGAAGGCGACUUUCUGGUCUGUAACUGACGCUGAGGCGCGAAAGCGUGGGGAGCAAACAGG
This 253-nucleotide ribosomal RNA is filed under the name uncultured bacterium. RNAcentral's name for it is "partial 16S ribosomal RNA". It matches the Rfam family "Bacterial small subunit ribosomal RNA", at positions 524 to 776 of the family's 1533-position model. The record is from RNAcentral.